CUAUUGGUUAUGAUGAAUUGGAGGUUGUAGGAAAGACGUUGUAGAAUAACAAAACAGAGACAAUUUUUAGAAUGGUCAAUGAUAAUUGUGGAAUAAAUCAAAAGCUUAUUUUAGUUAUUAUUAUUAUUAUUAUUUUGAAAUUUGUAUAUUUGUGAAAUUUGUUUUUUUUAUAACUUCAAAAAAUAUAUUGAUUUUUUUUUUGAAGGGCCUAAACCGUAAUUUAAUAUUUUUAAAGAGAGGGGUUAAUCGACAAUUUAGCCAACAAUAUGGCGGAAAAUGGCGGGAAACGAGAACCCCGUUCAAGCCUUCAUUCCUCCAUUGCUGCAUCUCCGAUUGUUCUUCAAAACUCUUCUCUUGGUUCGGUGUGGAUUUUGCUUUCUUUUUUGUUUUUGGUUUCGCUGAUUGGAUCUGUUUCCUAUUUAGAAGCCUGUGGCAGCACCAUUGACGAUAGAGGAGCUUGGGAUGGCGACCUGGACACUUCUCCACACUAUAUUGCAGCUCAGUUUCAGACAACUCACUGAGGCAGCAAAAGCAUGAUGUCAAAGAACUGAGCAAAUCCUGUGCAGGCCGGAUCACAGACAGAGUUACCUCAGUUGCUGUGUCAUGUGCACAAUGUUGUCAACGAAAGCCUUGGGAAGCUGAGUUUUUUCAUGCCAGAGAGUGAAUGCUAGAUGCGGCAAGCUUAAUUGCAAGGAUCAUGCCCGUGAUUUGCGAGGCACUUCAAGCUUUAGCAGAUGUUCCUCAAAUCUGUUGAAUGGAUAAACCACAAUUGCAUUAAAAAGAGAGAACAACAGUACAAAGAAAACAAAACAGACAAACAACUCCACUAGAAAUGGAAACAAAAGCACAUAACAAGGGAAACAAACACUAAGAGACGAGACAGCACACUGAGACACAUGGAGGAGGAGAGAGGAACUCCUCCAAGACACAGCAGCA
Molecule: long non-coding RNA, 936 nt
Organism: Dioscorea cayenensis subsp. rotundata (Guinea yam)
Lineage: Eukaryota; Viridiplantae; Streptophyta; Magnoliopsida; Dioscoreales; Dioscoreaceae
Exons: 5
Source: RefSeq, a predicted model, not a curated record